This 1694-nucleotide ribosomal RNA is filed under the name Halosauropsis macrochir (abyssal halosaur). RNAcentral describes it as "16S rRNA". It matches the Rfam family "Bacterial large subunit ribosomal RNA". The record is from RNAcentral. Lineage: Eukaryota; Metazoa; Chordata; Actinopteri; Notacanthiformes; Halosauridae.
GCCGAAUAGCUAGCCAAUACACUAAAGUUAACUAAAACCCAUAAAUACCUACCCAUAAAGAUCUAAAACAAAACAUUUAACCUCCCCAGUAUAGGCGAUAGAAAAGGAAAAAUUUAAGCAAUAGAAAAAGUACCGCAAGGGAAAGCUGAAAGAGAAAUGAAAUAACCCGUUAAAGCACAAAAAAGCAGAGACUAAUCCUCGUACCUUUUGCAUCAUGAUUUAGUAAGUACAAUCAAGCAAAGAGAACUUUAGUUUGAAACCCCGAAACUAGACGAGCUACUCCGGGGCAGCCUAUAUUAGGGCCAACCCGUCUCUGUGGCAAAAGAGUGGGAAGACCCCCGAGUAGAGGUGAUAAACCUAUCGAGCCUAGUUAUAGCUGGUUGCUUAGGAAAUGAAUUUUAGUUCAGCCCUACCCGUUCUUAAAUCAAAUAUUAUCUAACAAGAAAUAAGAGUUACCCGUAGGAGUUAGUCAAAGGAGGUACAGCUCCUUUGAAAAAGAACACAACCUUUCCAGGAGGAUAAAGAUCAUAAUAUUUUAAGGUAAACUGCUUCAGUGGGCCUAAAAGCAGCCAACUGUUAAUAGAAAGCGUUAAAGCUCAGGCAGAUAAAAAACCUAUAAUUCCGAUAACAAAUCAUAUUCCCCUAAUUAUACUAAGCCAUUCUAUGCCUACAUAGAAGAGAUUAUGCUAAAAUGAGUAAUAAGAAGAAAUGACCUUCUCCCCGCAUACCUGUAAGUCAGAUUGGACCACCCACUGACAACUAACGAACCCUAAAACAAGAGGGCAUCAUUUUUAAUAACUAUAAAUCAGGAAAACCCCAUGAAACUAAAUCGUUAACCCAACACAGGAAUGCCUAAAGGAAAGACAAAAGGGGGGAGAAGGAACUCGGCAAAUCCGAGCCUCGCCUGUUUACCAAAAACAUCGCCUCUUGCUAAAAAAGAAGUAUUAGAGGUCCCGCCUGCCCAGUGACAUAAAAGUUAAACGGCCGCGGUAUUCUGACCGUGCUAAGGUAGCGUAAUCACUUGUCUUUUAAAUGAAGACCCGUAUGAACGGCAUCACGAGGGCUCAGCUGUCUCCUCCCCCCAGUCAAUGAAAUUGAUCUGCCCGUGCAGAAGCGGACAUAAGAACAUAAGACGAGAAGACCCUAUGGAGCUUAAGACAAAAAGCCAAACAUGUAAAACAACCCACAAACCAAUUGGAAUAAAAGGUAACUUAACCCUGUGUUAUCUGGCUGGAAUGUCUUCGGUUGGGGCGACCUCGGAGGAAAAACAAGCCUCCGCAUGGAAUGGGGGAAAACAUUCCCCUAAAACUAAGAAAUACAAAUCUAAGUAACAAAAAUUUUGACCAACAAUGACCCGGACUAAGUCCGAUCAACGAACCAAGUUACCCUAGGGAUAACAGCGCAAUCCCUUCCCAGAGUCCAUAUCGACGAAGGGGUUUACGACCUCGAUGUUGGAUCAGGACAUCCUAAUGGUGCAGCCGCUAUUAAGGGUUCGUUUGUUCAACGAUUAAAGUCCUACGUGAUCUGAGUUCAGACCGGAGAAAUCCAGGUCGGUUUCUAUCUAUGAUGUAACUUCUCCUAGUACGAAAGGGCCGGAGAAGUGAGGCCUCUACUGAAAGCAAGCCUCAUCCUCACCUGCUGAAAACAAAUUAAACAGGAAACAGGAUCCAACAAACAACCGGAAAUAACGAAAC